AUGCUUGCUGACCUCCAGCUGCUCCGCGCCCCUUGUUUGAACUUCUUCAGCCGCACAUUUGCCUGGUUCGGCGUUGGACCUAUGCGUCAGCAAUUAACUGUUUUUCCCAAGCUGAUGGUGGCUGAGGACGACAUGGAUGACAGCUCCCUGCUCGUCCCUGCCGACGGAGAAGAAGUUCAGGAGAGAAAGGACGGCGGACGGAGCCGGUGGCUAGUGGAACAAGGCACGCGAGACAGGGCCCUUCGCCUGAAGGAGCAGGGGCGGUGCUCGAUUGGGGGCGGGACUGCGGCGGCAUUGCCGGUUGGGGGCAGGGCAGAAGCGGCAUCAUCGGUUGGGGCGGGUUGGGGGCGGCGCAUGGGCUGCGGCUUGUGA
Molecule: ribosomal RNA, 372 nt
Filed under: Triticum aestivum (bread wheat)
Lineage: Eukaryota; Viridiplantae; Streptophyta; Magnoliopsida; Poales; Poaceae
Description: partial small subunit ribosomal RNA
Source: RNAcentral